Molecule: ribosomal RNA, 929 nt
Filed under: uncultured fungus
Lineage: Eukaryota; Fungi
Description: partial 18S ribosomal RNA
Rfam family: Eukaryotic small subunit ribosomal RNA
Source: RNAcentral
AUUAUACCGCGAAACUGCNUGGNUCNUUNUCUAANUUAUCGUUUAUUUGAUAGCACAUUUACCUACUUGGAUAACCGUGGUAAUUCUAGAGCUAAUACAUGCUAAAAAUCCCGACUUCGGAAGGGAUGUAUUUAUUAGAUUAAAAGCCAACGCCCUUCGGGGCUUCUUGGUGAUUCAUGAUAACUUGUCGAAUCGCAUGGCCUUGCGCCGGCGAUGGUUCAUUCAAAUUUCUUCCCUAUCAACUUUCGAUGCGAAGGUCUUGUCUUCGCAUGGUUGCAACGGGUAACGGAGGGUUAGGGCUCGACCCCGGAGAAGGAGCCUGAGAAACGGCUACUACAUCCAAGGAAGGCAGCAGGCGCGCAAAUUACCCAAUCCCGACACGGGGAGGUAGUGACAAUAAAUACUGAUACAGGGCUCUUUUGGGUCUUGUAAUCGGAAUGAGUACAAUUUAAAUCCCUUAACGAGGAACAAUUGGAGGGCAAGUCUGGUGCCAGCAGCCGCGGUAAUUCCAGCUCCAAUAGCGUAUAUUAAAGUUGUUGUGGUUAAAAAGCUCGUAGUUGAACCUUGGGCCUGGCUGGCCGGUCCCCCUCACCGGGUGCACUGAUCCAGCCGGGCCUUUCCCUCUGUGGAACCUCAUGGCCUUCACUGACUGUGCUGGGGAAACAGGACUUUUACUUUGAAAAAAUUAAAGNGCUCCANGCAGGCCUAAUGCUCNAANUACAUUAGCAUGGAAUAAUANAAUAGGACGUGUGGUUCUAUUUUGUUGGUUUCUAGGACCGCCGUAAUGAUUAAUAGGGACAGUCGGGGGCAUCAGUAUUCAAUUGUCANANGUGAAAUUCUUGNAUCNAUUGAANACUAACUACUGCNAAAGCAUGCCNAGGAUGUUUUCNUUGAUAANGAACGAACUUAGGGAAUCGAANACNAUCAAA